Molecule: long non-coding RNA, 1850 nt
Organism: Columba livia (rock pigeon)
Lineage: Eukaryota; Metazoa; Chordata; Aves; Columbiformes; Columbidae
Exons: 2
Source: RefSeq, a predicted model, not a curated record
CGCUGCCCUGCCGCCAGCGUCCCUUCAGUCGCCGCGUCCUCCUCCGGUGACACCGGGACGGCACCGGGGGCCUUGUCAGUGUGGCUCCUCCGAGUCCUGCCGGCACGUCUGUGGUGCUUCCAGGACGGGCUGAGGGGCAGCGGUGCCUGUACCGGUGCCGCUCGGGCUCCCUCCCGCCAGCCCCGGGCUGUGCGCCCUCUGUGGAGAUGGAGAUGGGGAAGGACGAAAAUGGAACCUUCAGAUACUACAGGUUCCACCCAUCCCCAACGUCUGCCCGGUGCCGCAGCUGCUCCUCACACUCGCCCAACUACUUUAUCUUGGUGCCCUCAUGGCGUCCAGGACCCCAAAUCCAGUCGAUUUGCCCAACACCAUUGAACUGAAAAUCAUCCCCAGCAGCCAACUGCCUUCCUGAGCCACCACAACACCGCACCAGGUAGGGAGCCAGCUUGGCAGCACGAUGGCAGCGGCUGCCCCAGUAGCCGUGCCCAACAGGGAAGCGCUGGGGGUUCUGUGGUGCUGGUGGAGCCACCUGCAUCUGCGGUUCCUCUCGGCAGCGAGCAGCGGAUCCCGGGCCAUCAUACAGCCACUAAUUCAGAGUGUCCCCUGCGCAGCUCUCUCCUCCCCACAUGUACGUCGUGCAUCUCUCUCUCAUGCAUCUUGCCACGUUGCCCCGUCUCAGGGUCUGACCGCCAUCCUGGGCACCAUGAACUCAGCCCUGCUAUUUCCUCUGCCACAGGUGUCACCAAACCAUCCCACUGGGACAGGCUGAAACCCUUUUGCCUACUCCUCGGUGUCCCCAGCUGCUUGCCGGGGUGGGAGCAGAAAUUUGGCUCCCUCAUUGUGACACUCCCCACCAGGACGGGGUGAAACCGGCGCAGGGGACAGAGAGGCAGAGACGCCGUUGGGUGUCAGGGGCUGUGUUUAUCCAUCGCAGAUGUUGUCCAGUGGCACUGGGUGUCCCCGUCAGGUGUCCAGCAGGUCCCGCACCGCUGGGGUGGCCACGUCGCGGGGACACCGGCCCUUGGUGUCGCGGAUGCCAGCCAGCGCCGGGCUGUGCUGCAGGAGCAGGGCACAGAGCUCCCCGUGGCCUUGCUCAGCGGCCUGUGGGUGACGCAUCUGUCAUCGCCAGGGUGUGCAAAUGCUGGCGCAAGGCCCGGGGGGGACAUCCCGGCUGUGCCACCCACCUUGUGCAGGCUGGUGCGGCCGUCCCCGUCGGUGGCCAGCGGGUCAGCGCCGUGGGCUAGCAACAGCUGGGCGAUGGGCAGGUGGCCACAGUAGCUGGCGCGGUGCAGGGGGGUGGCACCACCUGGCGUGCGGGCAUCACAGCGGGCGCCGCGCUGCAGCAGCAGCCGGCAGACGCCCAGGUGGCCAUUGCGGCUGGCAUAGUGCUGGGGGGUGACAAGGGGACACGGGUGUUGGGGGGGGACGACACACAGGCACGGGGUCUGUCUGUCUGUCCCCUCUCCGUGCGCGUGUACCAGUGCUGUGUACCCAGCCAGGUCGGGCUGGCUGGGCUCUCCCCGCCGCUCCAGCAGCUCCAGCACCCGGGGUUCGUCCCCGUCCCGCGCCGCCGCCCAGAUCCCUACGGGCACCGGGAACGGGGAGGGAGGGUGGUGGUCAGGCAGGACCGGACCCGCAGCCCUGCCCGUACCCCGGCCCUUGGCGUCCCCCCAGCCCCCCAGCCCUGCUCCCGGGUUCCUCCCGACCCCGCUCGAAGUCCAUCUCGGGCAGGCUCUGGUGGACGCUGGGCACCGCCAACCGCGACGGGCAGCAGGGACCGGGCGGAGAACGGCGACCGGCCGCCAUCGCCCCAACCAGGAAUGGACGAAGGGAGCCGGAAAGGGCCGAAA